This 492-nucleotide ribosomal RNA is filed under the name uncultured bacterium. RNAcentral describes it as "partial 16S ribosomal RNA". It matches the Rfam family "Bacterial small subunit ribosomal RNA", at positions 29 to 507 of the family's 1533-position model. The record is from RNAcentral.
AUUGAACGCUGGCGGCAUGCUUUACACAUGCAAGUCGAGCGGUAACAGGCCUUCGGGUGCUGACGAGUGGCGAACGGGUGAGUAAUGCAUCGGAACGUACCCAGAGGUGGGGGAUAACGCAGCGAAAGCUGUGCUAAUACCGCAUGUGAUCUGAGGAUGAAAGCGGGGGACCGAGCAGCAAUGUUUGGCCUCGCGCCUUUGGAGCGGCCGAUGUCGGAUUAGCUAGUUGGUGGGGUAAAGGCCUACCAAGGCGACGAUCCGUAGCUGGUCUGAGAGGACGACCAGCCACACUGGGACUGAGACACGGCCCAGACGCCUACGGGAGGCAGCAGUGGGGAAUUUUGGACAAAGGGCGCAAGCCUGAUCCAGCAAUGCCGCGUGCGGGAAGAAGGCCUUCGGGUUGUAAACCGCUUUUGGCAGGAACGAAACGGUGUCCGCUAAUACCGGGCGCUAAUGACGGUACCUGCAGAAUAAGCACCGGCUAACUACGUG